RNAcentral lists this ribosomal RNA (497 nucleotides) under uncultured bacterium. RNAcentral describes it as "partial 16S ribosomal RNA". It matches the Rfam family "Bacterial small subunit ribosomal RNA", at positions 28 to 507 of the family's 1533-position model. The record is from RNAcentral.
GAUGAACGCUGGCGGCGUGCCUAAUACAUGCCAGUCGAGCGAACAGACGAGGAGCUUGCUCCUCUGACGUUAGCGGCGGACGGGUGAGUAACACGUGGAUAACCUACCUAUAAGACUGGGAUAACUUCGGGAAACCGGAGCUAAUACCGGAUAAUAUAUUGAACCGCAUGGUUCAAUAGUGAAAGACGGUUUUGCUGUCACUUAUAGAUGGAUCCGCGCCGCAUUAGCUAGUUGGUAAGGUAACGGCUUACCAAGGCAACGAUGCGUAGCCGACCUGAGAGGGUGAUCGGCCACACUGGAACUGAGACACGGUCCAGACUCCUACGGGAGGCAGCAGUAGGGAAUCUUCCGCAAUGGGCGAAAGCUUGACGGAGCAACGCCGCGUGAGUGAUGAAGGUCUUCGGAUCGUAAAACUCUGUUAUUAGGGAAGAACAAAUGUGUAAGUAACUAUGCACGUCUUGACGGUACCCAAUCAGAAAGCCACGGCUAACUACGUG